This 465-nucleotide ribosomal RNA is filed under the name Vreelandella stevensii. RNAcentral's name for it is "partial 16S ribosomal RNA". It matches the Rfam family "Bacterial small subunit ribosomal RNA", at positions 338 to 795 of the family's 1533-position model. The record is from RNAcentral. Lineage: Bacteria; Pseudomonadati; Pseudomonadota; Gammaproteobacteria; Oceanospirillales; Halomonadaceae.
CCUACGGGCGGCAGCAGUGGGGAAUAUUGGACAAUGGGGGCAACCCUGAUCCAGCCAUGCCGCGUGUGUGAAGAAGGCCCUCGGGUUGUAAAGCACUUUCAGUGAGGAAGAACGCCUGGUGGUUAAUACCCAUCAGGAAAGACAUCACUCACAGAAGAAGCACCGGCUAACUCCGUGCCAGCAGCCGCGGUAAUACGGAGGGUGCGAGCGUUAAUCGGAAUUACUGGGCGUAAAGCGCGCGUAGGUGGCUUGAUAAGCCGGUUGUGAAAGCCCCGGGCUCAACCUGGGAACGGCAUCCGGAACUGUCAAGCUAGAGUGCAGGAGAGGAAGGUAGAAUUCCCGGUGUAGCGGUGAAAUGCGUAGAGAUCGGGAGGAAUACCAGUGGCGACGGCGGCCUACUGGACUGACACUGACACUGAGGUGCGAAAGCGUGGGUAGCAAACAGGAGUAGAUACCCUAGUAGUC